Molecule: long non-coding RNA, 786 nt
Organism: Oryctolagus cuniculus (rabbit)
Lineage: Eukaryota; Metazoa; Chordata; Mammalia; Lagomorpha; Leporidae
Source: RefSeq, a predicted model, not a curated record
CUCGCCGGCCCCGGCGCUCGGAUUCCCCGCCCCCGCCACGUGUGUUUCGGCUGUUACUGGACGCGCAUGUUUUUCCAGACUAAGUUUGUUUGCUUCCAGGAGUUACUUCCUGAGUUUUGGUUAGUUGUAAACUGCGUAGUUGGAAAAAGAACUCUUUGACGGUGAUGGGUCACGACAGGCUCAACCGGGUCUCAUCUGACAGCUGCCUUAGUGUGUAUUAGGCGGUCCUUGGAAGUUUACUUUCCUUCCUUAUGGGUGGACCUGGUCUGCGUUUUGGUUCAUCUGUAAGAUGUCAGUGGCAAUGAGGACUUCCUUCUCCACCCUCGGAAGUUCUCAGAGGAACACAGGGCGGUUCUGCUCUGCCUGGUCCCUGACGUCUUGGAUCUUCGGUUGCAAAUCUGUGUGCCUGGUACAGCAUUUGUCACAAAUGUUGGUGUCGGGGCCGGCGCUGUGGCUCAGUGGGUUAACGCCCUGUCCUGAAGCGCCGGCAUCCCAUAUGGGCGCCGUUUCUAGUCCCAGCUGCUCCACUUGCGAUCCAGCUCUCUGCUAUGGCCUGGGAGAGCAGUGGAAGAUGGCUGGGUCCCACGUGGGAGACCCAGAAGAAGCUCCUGGCCUCGGAUCGGCACAGCUCUGGCCGUUGUGGCCACCUGGGGAGUGAACCAUCAGAUGGAAGAUCUCUCUCUCUCUCUCUCUCUCUCUCUCUCUCUCUCUCUCUGUGUGUGUGUGUGUGUGUGUGUGUAACUCUUUCAAAUAAAUAAAUAAAAUCUAAAAAAAAAAAAAAAAACG